GCCGGGCGUGGUGGUGCACACCUGUGAUCCCAGCUACUGGGGAGGCUGAGGCAUGAGAAUUGCUUGAGCCCAGGAGGUGGAGGUUGCAAUGAGCUGAGAUCAUGCUACUGCACUGCACCCUGGGCAACACAGCAAGACUCUGCCUCCA
RNAcentral lists this non-coding RNA (148 nucleotides) under Homo sapiens (human). Lineage: Eukaryota; Metazoa; Chordata; Mammalia; Primates; Hominidae. The record is from Rfam by way of RNAcentral.